CCUACGGGUGGCAGCAGUGAGGAAUAUUGGUCAAUGGGCUUACGCCUGAACCAGCCAAAUCGCGUGAGGGAAGACUGCCCUAUGGGUUGUAAACCUCUUUUGUCAGGGAGCAAUUGGCGCUACGUGUAGCGUUAUCGAGAGUACCUGCAGAAAAAGCAUCUGCUAACUCCGUGCCAGCAGCCGCGGUAAUACGUAGGAUGCGAGCGUUAUCCGGAUUUAUUUGGUUUAAAGGGUGCGUAGGCGGAAUGCCAAGUCAGCGGUAAAAUCGCGGGGCUCAACCUCGCUCCGCCGUUGAAACUUGCGUACUAGAGUGAGAGAGAGGUAAGCGGAAUGCGAGGUGAAGCGGUGAAAUGCAUAGAUAUCACGAAGAACACCGAAGGCGAAGGCAGCAUACUGGGGCCAAACUGACGCUGAAGGACGAAAGCGUGGGUAGCGAACAGGAUUAGAUACCCCAGUAGUC
Molecule: ribosomal RNA, 460 nt
Filed under: uncultured bacterium
Lineage: Bacteria
Description: partial 16S ribosomal RNA
Rfam family: Bacterial small subunit ribosomal RNA
Source: RNAcentral